Molecule: long non-coding RNA, 370 nt
Organism: Brienomyrus brachyistius
Lineage: Eukaryota; Metazoa; Chordata; Actinopteri; Osteoglossiformes; Mormyridae
Exons: 3
Source: RefSeq, a predicted model, not a curated record
AGGUUCCGUCGUUUAGUAGAUAGAAAUCUGGUUCCUGAGUUGUCUGUGGGGACAAACUGGUAUCUCAGCUUCCAGGGUACGGCAUGGUUGUGCAACAGGUCAAGACAGCUACAGAGUGAAACUGGAGACCAGCGAAUCUCACGGCUAUAGCACUAUAUCCGAGAGAGGAUUCCUUUCUGUGACGCUACAGGUGAAACUGCUGCAAAGGCGUUACUCAGCAGCUGAUCCCUGCAUCAACCGCAUACCGGGCACCACAUCGCCCCCUGCUGGAACAGACAGAGCAAAAUGAGUGUGGACUCCAUGGACAGCGGCGCGAUCCAACGAUGGAACAGAAUCGUGCGUGGAGCAGCUCGGAGCGAGGCUAUGAGGG